GCUUAUAAUAACAUAAUACAUUCUUCUACAAAAUAAACACCUUUCUUUGCCAAUUAUGGUUAUUAUCCACGACUUGAUAUUUUUGACUUUUUAGAAGCUGAUAAUCAUAUAGAAAAAGAUUUGGCAAAUUAUUUGUCAGAGGUACAUACAAUAAUGAAGGCGCAAUUAAAAGAAGCUCAAUAACAACAAAAGAUCAUUGCAAAUAUCUAUCAAAAGGAACAACCUCCAUUCUAUGUGGAUGACAAAGUAUGGUUACUUUGUUGCAAUAUCAAGACUACUCGUCUUUGUGACAAGUUGGAUUAUCGUAGACUUGGACCAUUUUUUA
Molecule: long non-coding RNA, 325 nt
Filed under: Physcomitrium patens
Lineage: Eukaryota; Viridiplantae; Streptophyta; Bryopsida; Funariales; Funariaceae
Description: long non-coding RNA (PPAT_LNC014887)
Source: RNAcentral